CAUGGAGAUGGUGAUGGGGUUCACCUUAUAACCGCCUGAGAAGGCUGAUGACUCCUACCUGUAG
This 64-nucleotide non-coding RNA is filed under the name Nitrospirota bacterium. Its description in RNAcentral is "Nitrospirae bacterium Fluoride sequence". It matches the Rfam family "Fluoride riboswitch aptamer (crcB RNA motif)". Lineage: Bacteria; Pseudomonadati; Nitrospirota. The record is from RNAcentral.